CAGGUGGUUCUCACUAUUGUCGAUUUUGUUCGAGCGAGUUUGACUUCCCACGGGGACUAUCAGCAACAUUCUUGCAGGAGUUUGGUAAUUUCAAGUCUCCAAUGUACUCAAGACUUCCUCAGUAUUGACACCACCGCUGCCAUUGGUGAUCGAUGACGGUAGUUGAGUCGAGUAGAAGAUCAGGUGUGGUUCAAGCAACACUAUCGGAGAGAUGUGGGUAUCAUUCACAGGGAAUUCCUACUCUUUUUUUCGAUGCCAUCAAUUACCUAAUUCACAUGAAAAAUCUAUGGAUCAAGGUUGAAUCAAGCAGAGGGCAGAACACGAAAGGCGCGUACACGGUUAUUUGUUGAUCAUGGAAAUUAGGAGAAGAAGGUGAUGCAACUGGUCUGUCAAUAUGAGGUUCGUUUGCAAAGAUACAUAGCUAUGAUUGAUAUGCGGACUAAUGCUUUAUUAUGAAAGAUUGAUGCCUCUUUGAAGCAAUCAUAUGCCUUUUAUGCUGCAUUUGAUGGAAUUCCAGGGCUACAGGCAUCUGGAGCAUAUAUAUUUUCCAUCCAAAUGGUAAAUAUUCUAUUGGCUCUCAGAAGCAGAUUCGUGACGAUAGAGUUGAGUGGGAUCUUGAAGUGAAUCAACUUAUUGCAUGAAACUGUUAUCCUUUUGUAGUGGAAAUAAUGGCUAUUAUUACAAAUUUCCUCACAAUAGACAUUUAGACUAAAUAUUUUUGUGGUGUGAAUAAUGUUUCUUUGGUUUAUGGUAGUGGAAAUGUGGCUUCAGGAUA
Helianthus annuus (common sunflower) is the source of this 775-nucleotide long non-coding RNA. RefSeq lists it as uncharacterized. The transcript is spliced from 7 exons. The record is from RefSeq and is a predicted model, not a curated record. NCBI's taxonomy places the organism in Eukaryota, Viridiplantae, Streptophyta, Magnoliopsida, Asterales, Asteraceae.